Triticum aestivum (bread wheat) is the source of this 116-nucleotide non-coding RNA. Lineage: Eukaryota; Viridiplantae; Streptophyta; Magnoliopsida; Poales; Poaceae. The record is from Rfam.
UAGGGUAGCCUCUGACCCUACUUAGUUCAACCAAAUGAACUAAAAUUUCAAAAGUAGUGUGAAUUCUGAAAGUUUAGUUCACUUUGUUGAACUAAGGAGGGUCGGAGGGUACCCUC